Molecule: ribosomal RNA, 253 nt
Filed under: uncultured bacterium
Lineage: Bacteria
Description: partial 16S ribosomal RNA
Rfam family: Bacterial small subunit ribosomal RNA
Source: RNAcentral
UACAGAGGGGGCAAGCGUUGUUCGGAAUUACUGGGCGUAAAGGGCGCGUAGGCGGCCCGCUAAGUCGAACGUGAAAUCCCCAGGCUUAACCUGGGAACUGCGUCCGACACUGGCAGGCUUGAAUCCGGGAGAGGGAUGUGGAAUUCCAGGUGUAGCGGUGAAAUGCGUAGAUAUCUGGAGGAACACCGGUGGCGAAGGCGGCAUCCUGGACCGGCAUUGACGCUGAGGCGCGAAAGCUAGGGGAGCAAACGGG